CACGUAGUUAGCCGGGGCUUCUUCUGCAGGUACCGUCACUUUCGCCUCGUCCCUGCUGAAAGCGGUUUACAACCCGAAGGCCUUCAUCCCGCACGCGGCGUCGCUGCAUCAGGCUUUCGCCCAUUGUGCAAGAUUCCCCACUGCUGCCUCCCGUAGGAGUCUGGGCCGUGUCUCAGUCCCAAUCUGGCUGGUCGGUCUCUCAACCCAGCUACCCAUCAUUGCCUUGGUAGGCCGUUACCCCACCAACAAGCUAACAGGCCGCGGGCCCAUCCCUCUCCGCCGGAGCUUUCUCGAGUCUUCCAUGCGGAAGUCUCGAAGUAUUCGGUAUUAUCCACGGUUUCCCGUGGCUAUCCCAAUGAAAGGGGCAGGUUGCCCACGUGUUACUCAGCCGUUCGCCACUUUAUACACACCCGAAGGUGCUUUAAUCGUUCGACUUGCAUGUGUUAGGCGCGCCGCCAGCGUUCAUCCUGAGCCAGGAUCAAACUCU
This 487-nucleotide ribosomal RNA is filed under the name uncultured Atopobium sp. RNAcentral describes it as "partial 16S ribosomal RNA". Lineage: Bacteria; Bacillati; Actinomycetota; Coriobacteriia; Coriobacteriales; Atopobiaceae. The record is from RNAcentral.